This 250-nucleotide ribosomal RNA is filed under the name uncultured bacterium. Its description in RNAcentral is "partial 16S ribosomal RNA". It matches the Rfam family "Bacterial small subunit ribosomal RNA", at positions 57 to 305 of the family's 1533-position model. The record is from RNAcentral.
GCAAGUCGAGCGGUAACAGAUCUAGCUUGCUAGAUGCUGACGAGCGGCGGACGGGUGAGUAACGCGUAAGAAUCUACCCAGAAGCGGGGGAUAGCCCAGAGAAAUUUGGAUUAAUACCGCAUACGCCCUUCGGGGGAAAGCAGGGGAUCGUCGGACCUUGUGUUAUUGGAUGAGCCUGCGUGAGAUUAGCUUGUUGGUGAGGUAAGAGCUCACCAAGGCGACGAUGUCUAGCUGGUCUGAGAGGAUGAUC